ACUAUAUAAAGAUAUAUAACCACCAGAUAGGUUGGUAUCUCCCUUUAUAGUAUUUUAAAUUCGAAACUUGUUGAUAAUUUGUUGUGUAACUUCAUUUAAAUGAAUUGAAACAAAUUUAAUACAAGUGGAUGUAGGAUAACCGUCCGUCCUUUACAUUGGUAUAAAAGUGAUCUAAAAUUCUAUUUAUAAUUUUUUAUAGAUUUUUAGUGACGGUCAU
RNAcentral lists this non-coding RNA (217 nucleotides) under unclassified sequences. RNAcentral describes it as "IS605-orfB-I RNA". It matches the Rfam family "IS605-orfB-I RNA". The record is from Rfam by way of RNAcentral.